GUCUAAAGGAUUUUGCCGGGUGAAGUCCUGCGAGGACAGGUUUCUGCUGGUGUUUUUGAAAAGCUGCCCAGAAAGGUACCUUGAAGCAGCCAUGGAGAAUGGUAGGAGAUACUGCAGUAAUAUCCAAACAAGGCUCACAUCAUUUAACACAAGCACAUGAACCAGGUUUGUGGUAUGCUACUGAUGGCAGUGCACUCCCCAGAUUUACUUUAGUAUCUGAGCCCUGAGAAGAUAGUGACAUCUAUGAAGUAUUGCAAAAUCUCAGCUCCUCCUGAGAGCAGCAGGACUAAGAAGCUCAAGAAAUGUGCAGGGCCAGAUCUCUCCAGUGUCCCUUCCAAAUGUUGGGGAGUUGGAAAAUAUUGUGCAGUUCAUCCGGAAGGCACAGCUGGAGCUUCAGUAACAGAUAAUGACCUACAAGUUUGAUGAUAGAGGCAAGCACAAGUAUCUCGAAGAAACUGAAAAUAUUUUGUAAUGUGAUGUCACUUGUCUU
Pipra filicauda (Wire-tailed manakin) is the source of this 490-nucleotide long non-coding RNA. RefSeq lists it as uncharacterized. The transcript is spliced from 3 exons. NCBI's taxonomy places the organism in Eukaryota, Metazoa, Chordata, Aves, Passeriformes, Pipridae. The record is from RefSeq and is a predicted model, not a curated record.